UAAAGAACCUACCCUUUAGCGGGGGAUAGCCCUGGGAAACUGGGGGUAAUACCGCAUACGCAGUUGAAGACGCAUGUCAUUAACUGGAAAGGGAUGAGCAAUCAUCUCACUGAAGGAAGGCUUUGCGACCUAUCAGGUAGUUGGUGGGGUAAAGGCCUACCAAGCCAAAGACGGGUAGCUGGUCUGAGAGGAUGGUCAGCCACACUGGGACUGAGAUACGGCCCAG
RNAcentral lists this ribosomal RNA (226 nucleotides) under uncultured bacterium. RNAcentral's name for it is "partial 16S ribosomal RNA". It matches the Rfam family "Bacterial small subunit ribosomal RNA", at positions 118 to 334 of the family's 1533-position model. The record is from RNAcentral.